UCAUCAUCAUGAAGUCCUGAAUCAUCAGUCUCAUCAUCAUGCAGUCCCCUGAUCAUCAUCCAUUUAAGUCCUGAUCAUCAUCAUCAUCAUCAUGAGUCCUGAUCAUCAUCAUCGAGUCCUGAUCAUCAUCAUCAUCAUGAGUCCUGAUCAUUAUCAUCAUCAUCAUCAUCGAGUCCUGAUCAUCAUCAUCAUCAUGAGUCCUGAUCAUCAUCAUGAGUCCUCAUCCUCAU
This 230-nucleotide long non-coding RNA is filed under the name Cercocebus atys (sooty mangabey). Its description in RNAcentral is "lncRNA (ENSCATG00000045517.1)". The record is from RNAcentral. Lineage: Eukaryota; Metazoa; Chordata; Mammalia; Primates; Cercopithecidae.